RNAcentral lists this small RNA (313 nucleotides) under Pongo abelii (Sumatran orangutan). RNAcentral describes it as "retained intron". Lineage: Eukaryota; Metazoa; Chordata; Mammalia; Primates; Hominidae. The record is from RNAcentral.
CUUGGAUGCCGAGCAGAGUUACGCGAUGGCGGUGGAAGCAGGGCAGAGCCGAAGCAGCCCGCUCCUCAAGAGGCCAGUGCGGACCCAGGCGGUGCUGGACCAGUCAGAUGUGUACACCCAUGUUCUGUCAGCCUUCGUGGAAAAGAAGGUGGGCUGCAGCUUUCCGCCUCUUCUGGGCUGAGAAAGCUCAAAACAAGCAAGUUGCGGAAAAUGAGGGGACUUCAUGUGAUUAGAAUCACUGGAGUUUCCUUGGGUGAGGACCUAGAGCUGCUAGUUUGGCUUCUAAUGCUCAGGCCUAAAGCAUAAUCGUUGA